Non-coding RNA from Tissierella praeacuta DSM 18095, 211 nucleotides. The record is from Rfam. NCBI's taxonomy places the organism in Bacteria, Bacillati, Bacillota, Tissierellia, Tissierellales, Tissierellaceae.
UAGAACUGAUAUUCUAAGAGUGGAAUGAAGGGGUAACGCCCUGAAACGCUCCCCUAAUACUCCUACAUGCUAUGUAAUUUCAUUUUAUGAAAUUGGCUAAAGCAUAGUAUGAAGCUAGGUGAAGUCGGCAGAAAGAUACCGUAAAGUGUAAAAACACUACGAAAGCUGUCCAGAGGUGGAUGGUGUAUCCCAUAUGCCGGGGGUCUAUAAA